UGACAGAGAGUGGAGAAGGCUUGGUGGCCGUGAACAACGGUGAUUCUCUCGCGCUUGAGGAUGGUUCUGACGAUGGGAAGCGUUCCGUAGACGGUGGGGAAUGUGUUCUGCAUAGUGAAAGGUCUCCAGGGGACGUAGUAGACUUUGAGUCCGCCCGUCAUGUAUCGGACUCCGGUGCGGUUCCCGUAAGCAUGCGUCAUCACCACAACCUUCAAUUAAGCCAACCGAUUGUAUCUAAAUCACAUUUGAUUUCAAACGAUUUUUGAUCUCUGAGACUGACCUUGUGUCCGAGGUUUAAUAGGCAUUGGGAGAGAUAGUAGAUGUGAUUCUCGACUCCACCGAAGUUUGGGAAGAAGAAAUCGGAGACCAUUAGAACCCUAAGCUUUGGUUCCGCCAUUGAUUCCCAAGCUCUCAAGUUUCUGAUUCGUAAACGAAUCACUCUGAGAAUUCCAAAACGAAAGUGUUUAGCAAUUGGGCUUUAUAUAAAUGGGCUUGUAUUGGGCUUUGUGAAGAUCAGAAAUUACUAUAAUAUUGUGAUUUUUUUUGGAGGUAAACAUUUUAUUCACCGGCUAUAACAUGUACAUUCAAACACGCAAAAUCAAAUUCGAAUUUGUUUGGUUAACAUCGUACAGUAUAAAACUAUACUAAAUUAAUAAAUUGGUUUAUUCUGAUAUCCAAAAAUAAAGUAAUGAAUUUUUGGAGACGUAGUUUUAAAAAAUGAAGCAAGAAUCUGCCACAAGACCUAUGAAUAAUUAGUUUACUAUAUAUGAAAUGUGUUAUUUGUCGUUGGUUAAUGGUUAUGCAGACUCAACCUGUUUUGACCAAACAAACCUUAACUGGUUCAGGCUGUAAUGGCCUAGAUAUAGUCACUAACCGUCAUUGCGUCAUUAAAAACGCUGCAAUAUUUAACAAUUAUUGCAAUGUUUUGGCUAUAUUUUGCAUGAAUUAUAAGCGAGCAGAACAGAUCAAUAUUACUUAUUGGCUUAAAUAAUGCUGAUAUAUUUAUUAUCCUGUUACAGAACAGUUUAACAUUAAUUUGCAUUCAUGAAAGCUUAAGAAUAUAUGUUUACUAACUAGUAGUUUAAAAAAAAAAAAAUUUGAAGUUAAACGAUAUUCUUCUUGGUUGAUGUGCAUUUAACUCGGUAUACAUCUCAUCACACAUAGAUUAAAGUAUAGAAUAUUGAUCAAUUCAUCGAUCAUAGCAAGGUGUGCCCAAAAAAGGAAGCAUGAUCCAUUACGAAGGAUGUUUGCUUCCACUGCUAAUCUCAAUUUUUUAUUCUCACAUCUAAGAUCUCAAAUAGUAACAAAAUCAGAAACAUAACAUUGGAUUUUGGUAAAUGAAACACACAAAUUACUGCUGAAAACAAGUAACUAUCAUGAGAAAUUUUACGUUUAAAAAGUUGUAUAGAUCAGAAUAAAAGGAUUCAUGUGAGAUACAUUUUUAUUGUUAAUUAUCAACAUGCCACUUGUAUUAUACAGAAAAUGAAAAGAACAAAUGAAGGGAAAAAUUAAAAGGAUCAAUUACCACCACACAGUCAUAAAUUAGAAAUGAUCAAUAUACUCUUCUUGGUCUUCUUCUUAUUGUUUCCGUGACUUUUUGAUCCUGCGGUCCAAAUCCUCGAAGAACAUCUCGAUCUCCAGGCUCAGAUCAAUCGGUACAUGGUUAACAACAUUAACCGGUGUCACUUUUCUUUUUGGUCCGGGCUUUCUUGGAGCUGGUGGGCAUAACGUAUACUUCGCCGCUGGAAUCUUGUGAGCGGAAGACGUUGGAGUCUUGCACCCAUCGUCGUUAACAUAUUGGUUUGAAAACAUGUGAAGAUCUAAAUAUCAUUUACUAAGAGUAUAAAUUAAAUUACGUUAUUUACUCAGCAAAACUUAUAGGGAAAUGCGUUUGUGUAAAUACACUAUGAUAUUGUAAAGUGAUUAAUUUUAGGGAGUUGUCUUAUAUUAAUCCAUAAAUGAUGGUGUGAUUAGAUUAUGAUGUAUAGCAGUAAAAGACUAGAAGUACUAAGGGACAAUGAUUUCGUUAUGCUCUGCAGAUGGACGUUCUUUAUGACUCCCGAGAAGUGCUUUGUCUGCAACCUAACUACAAUUUUUUGCUUAUAUAUGGAAUUGCUUUAUAAUUUUCAUUUAUACAUGACUUAGUUAUAAUAAAUUGUUUUCAAGUGUAUAUUUAUAUAAUGUGUCUAGUGGAGAUCGACCCGCGCCAAGUGUAUCGUAUCACUAGAGUAAGUUGGUGCAAUGCAUGCAUGAUCGUCGAUAAUGCAUAUCGGUCUCGAUCGAAAACGACAAAACCAGAUUAGUCCACUCACGAUCUUGAUAAGUGAUAAGCGUCAAUUUAAAUUGCGUUUCCGUGUAGUACAUCUAGAUUAAACAUAAAAUCGUGAUUAAUAGUUUGGAUAUAUGUUCUCAGCAGUGUUUUUAUACGAAUUUUUCUUUACUAACUUGAAGACAAAUCAUGGAAUUUCAAUAACAGCGUCGGAAAGAAUAGGACUUGUUUUUUUCAAAAAAAAUAAAAAUAGGACUUGUAUAACUAUAAUAUUUCUUGAAAGAAACAUAAUAAAAGUGAAGUGAAAUCUAACGUCGUAACGACGACCGAAUCAAUGUCGGAACAAUGAGCCUUUGAACAAGACCGACGCGCCUUGGGAGAGAGCAAGAGGCUCGUGAUGCGUACAGACCACUAGGAGACAAAAGCAGCGGAGGCCCCAUGCGCAAAGAUCGAGAGAUUCGAUCUUGAACUCCACGCGCUCCAAUGCACGCGUGAGAGUUUGAGCCAAGAACAAACGCUACAAAAUCUCAAGACUUCUGUACUUGUGAUUUUUCUUACAUGUGACUGACAACCAAUCUCACUGCUUCAACACGUCAUCAAAUUAUUGUCUUUUUUUUUGUCAACAAAUUAUUGUCUUUUUAGCUUUACAAAAUUAUUGUUGUGAUUAAUUGUACCAAAAAACCAGAUAUAUUUUCUCUAUGCUGCUUAAUUUGCUUAAUUUAAUAAAAAUCAAUAUUUCGAUAUAUUUUAAUGUAUACAACACAUGCUCCUAAGAUUUUCUUAAGUGCUCAUGAUCUAAAAAUCUUGUGAUUGGCUACACGAACAUUAAAUUUGUUUGUUUUUGUAUUGCAAGCAAGUUCCUUAAGAUAAAAAAAAGUUCGAUAAGAUAUUGGUAGAGAAGGACACACUUAUAUGGAUGGGGAAUCUUCAUUUUACUUAUAAAAUUUGAUAGGACAACUUGAUAUUCAUCGCAUUCGCAUGUACUAUUUACCAUGUGGGUCAUAGGCUGGAUAUUCACAUAUUUGAAUAUUUGAAUCAUAUCAAUGCUAAUCUACAAAACAUAUUUUAUAUUUAAUGGGUUUAAAAAAAAAACUCAAAAUCAAUAAAGUGUCAAAUAAUCAUCAUAUUUAAUUAGUGAGUUUAUACUUUUUCUUGCAAUUAUAUACUGUAAACAUAUUUUGACGUAUACUUGAUAAAAUUUUUUUUAUCUCAUACUGUGUAAAAUUUGAUGUUAUAAUUUUAUAUUAUUUUAUUUUAGCUAUAUUCGAUAAUAAUUUGUUAGCAACAAAAAGAAGAGUACGUGAAUAUAUAUACGUUCUAUGAUCACUCGGUGUGAUGAAUUUUUUUUCCACUAAACUUUUAAUUUUAUUAAUGAUCAAAGUAAUCUUUUAUUAAUAUUUUGUUAUAGUAUGAAAUAUUGUUGAUAAACAAGAAUAUAUAGACUUCAUUAAUAAUCCAAAAAAUAGCGUAUCAUAGUGGAUAAUUCAAUGUAUUAUAUAAAUGAGAAAAUUUCAUAAAAAAUAUCUCAACUAAAUUUUGUUUAGGUUUUAAACGAAAACGUACAGUUUCAUUAGUUAUAUCAUUUCAUUCUUAUUUAUAUGUUGCAGAUUGAAGUCUCUUAAGUCCAAGUACCACAAACACACCCUCACCGUCACACUGCUUAUGAGUAAAUAUCAUCAGUCAAGCUAAAGGAAUCAGUCUCAGAAAAGUAAAAGCUGCGAAGUUACAGUAAAGAGAGGAUAAUCUUCACAGAAAACUAUACAUGAAAUCAUGGAUGCUGUACUGGCAUAUAGAAUUAUUUACUAUAAUGUAUUAUUGAAUACAAAAGGUAUAUAUAUCUCAUAUAUGUAUUCAUGUAUAAGUUAUUUCCAUAUGUUUUUUUUUUACUAAGUUAUUUCCAUAUGUUUAUAGAUGGGUUCGAUCGAUUUCUGAGCAAGAAGGUUCCAUGUUCUAAACUUCUAGUGACAAGUAAAAAUUGUUAGAUAUAGAAUAUUCUCAUAAUCUAUAUUUAUCACUAAAUAACUUGUGCAAUUAAUCCCUCUCAAAGCACACAAGCAUACACGACCAUAUAUACACACGCGAUUAAAGAAUCUCCAUGUACGGUAAGACUCAAAUAUAUGUGGGUUUUCAACUUUUUCCACGUGACAUUCAUAUGUUUUUGUCGUCGACAUAUACUUAACUUACCUAUAAAUAUCCAUAUUUGGACAAACAUAUUCCAGAUUCGCUGGUCCGGCUUCAUGGACUGGUAUGUACCAAAUUUUGCUAGCUACGCUAUAUAGCCUAUGACCGAAUCUAAGACUUCAAUACGAAUAAAAAUAUUUAUAAUAUGAAUAUACGAUCAAUAAAAGAAAGAGAAAACUCCAACCUUUCGUUUUUUUUAAAUAUUAUUAUUAUAUGAUUCAUCAUUAAUGUGAUAUUUGCAUUUUAGCAAAAAAAAAAAAGAAAAGAAAGAGAACUUGUUGAGUUAAGAUCGAGUCAUAUACAUCACCAAUAAAAUAUUUUCGAAAAAAUCAACGAACUUCAUUUACAAAAGAAAAAAUAAAUCAUCUGUUGUUUUUUUAUUACAAAACUUGGCCAACUCAACAAAAAAACAUAUUUUUUUUAAUGAAGUCUAUAUAUUCUUGUUUAUACAAAAUAAAAAAAAAAACAAAAUAGAAUUAAUCAUCAAGGAAGAGCUUCUAAAGAAAAUGGACGGACAUAAAAAAGGCUCUAACAAUCGAGGGAGCUGAAACUCUGCUUAUCACUCGUUUCUUUAACUUGAUAUUCUUCCUUGAGGCCCUCUGACAAACCUCCCUAAUUGCAGAAAUUGAUGUCGGGUGCCUCCUCAAUAUCAUCAUCAGGCUGAGGUAAGGCCAGUUCCAUCAAGAUAUUAUCAUUACCAAAUUUAGAAGAUAUAUAUAUAUAUAUUUUUUGUAACGCAAGGAUAAGAUAUAUAUACGCACCUGAAGUAACUGAAGUAACCGCCAAAGCAAGUAAUCAAUGAUCAUAACCAUACAGAAUACCUUCCCAGCCCACGCUCCACAUGACAGGAACCUAACCAACCAUCAAAUCUUUAUAUUACCUUUUCAUUGGUAUCAAUCAAUGUUGAUGAGCUAGAAUUAAUAAGCAUAUAAUUGUUGUACCGCGAUAGACGUUCUAGAAGAUUUCUGUUGGAACACUUCAAAGCACGGUCAUACACGAUCUCGGUUCUUUUGGCAACAUCUUGCCAACUGUACAGCUUCUUCAUCUGAUAGCAAACAAAAUACUGUAUAUCAAAGGCUUGGAACAAGUCUCCUUUUCUCUCUUAAUAAGUAGAUUGUGAUAUGUUAAAUCUUAUAUUUAGAGGAGUAACUCACUCGAUUGUGCAUCUCCUCCGGGUUAAUACUUGGAAGUAUUGAUAUCGCCUUUUCGAUUGCUCGUACCAUGUCAUCCGGAUCUGGCUCAGCAAGUACAACCAUGUCAUCCGGUAGUACCUACACAAAGACAAUGAGACCAGAGCAAGAAUGUAUGUAUAAACAAUAAGGUACAUGCCUCAGGGACACCUCCAACACGAGUGCUGACUGUUAAUAACCCGCAGCUAGCCGCCUCCAAGAUAGCUAUGCAGAAGGCUUCUGUUAAAGAACUGUCACAGGUUCAAAAAGAUGAACAGUUUCACAAAUCCAUGCGAUUCAUAAGUUGUAAGAACCAAUGCACACACACCUGUUAAGGAAUAUAUGACCGGUGACCAGAACAGAGCGCACACGAGAAUGAGGAACAGCACCAAGCAUCUCAACCCUAUCUUGGAGAGAAUGCUUCUCCCUCAUUUCCUCUAGCCUCACAUGCUUUGGUCCAUCCCCUCCAACUACAAAACGAACCUUUCACAAAACCAAAAAACAUAAAUACAGAUACAAAAGAAUAAUGAUUGGUUUACUUUGAACUCACAUUGGGGUAUAACCGGCACACUUCAGGGAUAACCUCAACAAGCAAAUCCGCACCUUUCCGAUAAACCAAUCUACUUAUAACAACUAUAGUAAUCACAUCAUCACUACUUGGCCUGACAUCAGCAGGCUUGAACAUAGCAGUAUCAACAGCAUUCGGAAUCAUAAAAACCUUCCCCGGAGCCAAUCCAGAUCUCAAAACCGUGUUCUCCUUACUCGUAUGCGAAACACAAAUGGCCUGGUCUAUAUCAGCUAAAGUAAACUGCAAGACCUUGUUCAUGUGGAUGCUCCCAACAUCAGCAAACCCGUAGAGGGAGUGAUCAGUGAAGACAACUCUGUAUCCCAUUGUUCUGGCGUGCAUCAAGGCUUCGUGACAGAGAGUGGAGAAGGCUUGGUGGCCGUGAACAACGGUGAUUCUCUCGCGCUUGAGGAUGGUUCUGACGAUGGGAAGCGUUCCGUAGACGGUGGGGAAUGUGUUCUGCAUAGUGAAAGGUCUCCAGGGGACGUAGUAGACUUUGAGUCCGCCCGUCAUGUAUCGGACUCCGGUGCGGUUCCCGUAAGCAUGCGUCAUCACCACAACCUU
This 6748-nucleotide long non-coding RNA is filed under the name Brassica napus (rape). Its description in RNAcentral is "long non-coding RNA (BNAP_LNC009054)". The record is from RNAcentral. Lineage: Eukaryota; Viridiplantae; Streptophyta; Magnoliopsida; Brassicales; Brassicaceae.